AAUUACCUAGUAAGGUAGCCUGUCAUUAUAAAACCGACUAAAUAUGAUAUACGGGAAUCUAAUUGAUUUAUGGUGUAGAAGACUUAUCCAUUAAGUGCAUAAGGAUCCUAAAGUAGGUCAUGUGAUGCCCACCUGCCGAGAGCGGGUUUUUAUCAACGCAGCUACCUUCUAGGUUUUAU
RNAcentral lists this non-coding RNA (179 nucleotides) under Candidatus Onthocola stercorigallinarum. RNAcentral describes it as "6S RNA". It matches the Rfam family "6S / SsrS RNA". Rfam says of the family: E. coli 6S RNA was the first non coding RNA to be sequenced, but its function was unknown until recently. It consists of 184 nucleotides that fold into an extended hairpin structure with a large single-stranded internal bulge. Lineage: Bacteria; Bacillati; Bacillota; Bacilli. The record is from RNAcentral.